Molecule: transfer-messenger RNA, 239 nt
Filed under: Candidatus Saccharimonadota bacterium
Lineage: Bacteria; Candidatus Saccharimonadota
Rfam family: transfer-messenger RNA
About the family: Bacterial tmRNA, also known as 10Sa RNA or SsrA, is named for its dual tRNA and mRNA-like properties. Its role is to liberate the mRNA from a stalled ribosome.
Source: RNAcentral
GCCACUAACCUCAUAAAACAAGUGGCAAAAAAUAACUGGCGAAGAACCAGUAUUAGUUGCUGCCUAAUUAAAUAGGUAGCACAUCCAGCCUGACCUCUCCUCAACGGGUUGGGAUUGGGUGCCGAAAAGUUGAGGUGCCAUCGCCCGGACGUCGAUAAGGGUGGUGAAAGAAACUAUCGACUGGCCUGGCUAAACUCGGUCAGCAGAGGUUAGCCAGGUAAGAUUAAAGAGCUGACUAA